CAGCCGCCGCGGUAAUACGUAGGUGGCAAGCGUUGUCCGGAAUUAUUGGGCGUAAAGGGCUCGCAGGCGGUUUCUUAAGUCUGAUGUGAAAGCCCCCGGCUCAACCGGGGAGGGUCAUUGGAAACUGGGAAACUUGAGUGCAGAAGAGGAGAGUGGAAUUCCACGUGUAGCGGUGAAAUGCGUAGAGAUGUGGAGGAACACCAGUGGCGAAGGCGACUCUCUGGUCUGUAACUGACGCUGAGGAGCGAAAGCGUGAGGAGCGAACAGGAUUAGAUACCCGCGUAGUCCCUGUCUCUUAUAC
RNAcentral lists this ribosomal RNA (301 nucleotides) under uncultured bacterium. RNAcentral's name for it is "partial 16S ribosomal RNA". It matches the Rfam family "Bacterial small subunit ribosomal RNA", at positions 509 to 807 of the family's 1533-position model. The record is from RNAcentral.